AUUCAGCAAGAAAGAAACUCCCAUCUGCAUACCAGCUUCAGAAAUGGCAAACCUGGAAUUUCAGACUUCAGCAGCAGUGAAACUCUGCUGGAAGAUAUGGCUCCAAUUUCCAUGCCGGAAGCAAUGUGCUGGGGGAUACCCUCCUCCCACCUCCCACCAGGACUUGUUAACAGCAGAAACUCUUGGUCUACCAGAGACAGAACCUUCAGGAAAGACAGAGCACUGAGAACUUCAGACUUUCAAGGUGAUCUAAAGAAUAGUUUUCUUAUAACAAAUGAUGCAGUGCAACAGAACCUACAUUCAAGCAGUAAGAGCAGCUCAUGUAACUCUGUGCUGAUGGUGACUUCUGAGUACUCUGGAUGCAAGCUAAACAAGAAGGCCAUUCCUCUGAGUCCAGCAUGAUGUAACAUUAUUUCUGUGAGCCAUGAGCCUUUCCAGUGCAGCAGUUUCCUUUUAACCACAGCUGUGCUGCCAGCAGUGGCCCAGCAGCUGCAGGCAAGGCAUGAAGAGCUGACACUGAACUCUGGGGUGCCUCCUGCUGAGCCACCCUCCAGCCAGCCCUUCCUUCUCCUGGACAUAGGGAAGGGACCAGCCACCAGUUUAGGGCACUGGGAUGCACAUUGGAGGGGAUGGGUACAAGGUAGCUGAGAUGAAAAGCACUCAGGGAGGAUGAGGGGAGGAGUGGGACACAACAUGAAUGCUCUAGUUCUGACCUGUCCCUUGCUCACUAAAACACAGCUGUGUGUGAAUGCUACUUGCAGAGUGUCUUACUUGUAUACUGACCAAAUUUGGAUUGAAUUAUGCUCAGAUUAUUGCACAGCUGAUCUGAACUAAUUUUUGCCAUAUGUAUGUGCCUUGAUUCUCACUGACUUUGCCUUCUGGAGGCAAGCAGACAGCACCAGACACACUUAUUCGUAACUAGGAUUUACCAGCUUAUACCAGAAGCAAAGAGUACAUCUUGGAAAAGAUGUAGUCAUACGGAAAUUUAGAAAAAUUACAUAUGAUCAUGAAAUCAUAGAAUAUUCUGAGUUGGAAGGGACCUACAAGGAUCAUAGAGUCCAACUCUUAGUCGAACAGGACAGCUCCAAGAGUCAUGCCAUGUGCAAACACAUGGUCACAGAUUGUCCAAACACUUCUUGAACUCUGUCAGGCUUGGUGCUGUGGCCAUUAACUAGGGUGCCUGUUCCAGUGCCCAGCCACCCUCUGGGUGAAGAACCUUUUCCUGAUAUUCAACCUCAACCUCCCCUGGCUCAGCUCCAUGCCAUUUCCAUGAGUCCUGGUCAUGAGAGUGAAGUAUUGGAACCUGUCCUCCUCUUCCGCUCAUGAGGAAGUUGUAGACUGUGAUGAGAUCUUUCCUCAGUUUCCUCUUCUCUAGGCUGAACAGACAAAGUGACCUCAGCUUCUUCUCAUUCAGCUUCUCCUCAAGGCCCUCACCAUCUUUGUUGUCCUCCCUUGAGCACUCUGCAAUUGUUCAUAUUGUGUCACCCAAAACUGCCCCCAGCACUCGAGGUGAGGCUGCCCAGAGCAGAGCAGGACAAUCCCCUCCCUUGCCUGGCUGUGAUGCUGUGCCUGGUGCCCCCAGGACACUCUUGGCCCUCCUGGCUGCCAGGGCACUGCUGGCUCAUGUUCAACUUUGCCAUUAACCAGGACCCCCAGGUUCCUUUCCAUGGCACUGCUUUUCCAGUAUCUCGUUCUGUCUGUCCGUACAUCCAAGGCUGCCAGGAUGUAUGGAGAGACAUCCCAGGAGCAGAAUCUGGCACUGUCCCUUGUUGAAAUUCAUACACUAUGUGAUUGCCCAGUCCUCUGAUUUGUCCAGGUCUUUUUUCAAAGACUCUAAUUGAAUCCUUAACUGUUCUUCCCUUUUUUGAUCAGAGCCUAUGUUACCUGAAGGUACUUCAUUGGGUGAUCCACAUAUUUUUUUCUGCUAAGUUGUUUUGCCUUCAUGUACCUGUUUAUUUCCAGAGUGGAAAAUGUGGUAACUUCUGAUGACUAACUCUCUGUGCUUUUCACAAAACACUAUUUUCAGGGGCUUUUUUCUGCAUGAAUUUUGAAAAUAAAGAGUUUAAAGUAUAAAUGCA
RNAcentral lists this long non-coding RNA (2078 nucleotides) under Junco hyemalis (dark-eyed junco). Its description in RNAcentral is "lncRNA (ENSJHYG00000001664.1)". Lineage: Eukaryota; Metazoa; Chordata; Aves; Passeriformes; Passerellidae. The record is from RNAcentral.